AGAGUUUGAUCCUGGCUCAGAAUCAACGCUGGCGGCGUGCCUCAGACAUGCAAGUCGAACGAUUAAACUUUCCUUCGGGAAAGAUAUAAAGUGGCGCACGGGUGAGUAACACGUAGGUAAUGUACCUUUGGGUGGGGAAUAACUUAGGGAAACUUAAGCUAAUACCGCAUAAUGCAGCGGCUCCUUCGGGAGACAGUUGUUAAAGAUUUAUCGCCUAAAGAGCAGCCUGCGGCAGAUUAGCUAGUUGGUAAGGUAACGGCUUACCAAGGCUACGAUCUGUAUCCGACCUGAGAGGGUGGUCGGACACACUGACACUGAAUAACGGGUCAGACUCCUACGGGAGGCAGCAGUCGGGAAUUUUGGGCAAUGGGCGAAAGCCUGACCCAGCAACGCCGCGUGAAGGAUGAAGUCUCUCGGGAUGUAAACUUCGUAAGAAUAGGAAGAAUAAAUGACGGUACUAUUUGUAAGGUCCGGCUAACUACGUGCCAGCAGCCGCGGUAAUACGUAGGGACCAAGCGUUGUUCGGAUUUACUGGGCGUAAAGGGCGCGUAGGCGGCAAUUCAAGUCAGUUGUGAAAUCUCCGAGCUUAACUCGGAACGGUCAACUGAUACUGCUUUGCUAGAGUACAGAAGGGGCAAUCGGAAUUCUUGGUGUAGCGGUGAAAUGCGUAGAUAUCAAGAGGAACACCUGAGGUGAAGACGGGUUGCUGGGCUGAUACUGACGCUGAGGCGCGAAAGCUAGGGUAGCAAACGGGAUUAGAUACCCCGGUAGUCCUAGCCCUAAACGAUGAAUACUUGGUGUCUGGAGUUUUAUUCUCCGGGUGCCGUCGCUAACGUUUUUAGUAUUCCGCCUGGGGAGUACGCACGCAAGUGUGAAACUCAAAGGAAUUGACGG
Molecule: ribosomal RNA, 894 nt
Filed under: uncultured bacterium
Lineage: Bacteria
Description: bacterial SSU rRNA
Rfam family: Bacterial small subunit ribosomal RNA
Source: RNAcentral